This 334-nucleotide unclassified non-coding RNA is filed under the name soil metagenome. RNAcentral describes it as "partial contains 5.8S ribosomal RNA, internal transcribed spacer 2, and large subunit ribosomal RNA". The stretch from base 1 to 120 matches the Rfam family "5.8S ribosomal RNA", at positions 35 to 154 of the family's 154-position model. The record is from RNAcentral.
GAUGAAGAACGCAGUGAAAUGCGAUACGUAAUGUGAAUUGCAGAAUUCAGUGAAUCAUCGAAUCUUUGAACGCACAUUGCGCCUGCCAGCACUCUGGCAGGCAUGCCUGUUCGAGCGUCAUUUCAACCAUCAAGCCCUAGGCUUGCGUUGGAGCCCUGCGUCUGCCGCAGGCCCCUAAAAGCAGUGGCGGGCUCGCUAUCACACCGAGUGCAGUAGAUUACUCUUCGCUCAGGGCGUGUGGCGGGUUCCAGCCGUGAAACCCCCUACUUCUCAAGGUUGACCUCGGAUCAGGUAGGAAUACCCGCUGAACUUAAGCAUAUCAAUAAGCGGAGGA